CAGUCGCCGCGGGAAUACGUAGGUGGCAAGCGUUGUCCGGAAUUAUUGGGCGUAGAGGGCUCGCAGGCGGUUUCUUAAGUCUGAUGUGAAAGCCCCCGGCUCAACCGGGGAGGGUCAUUGGAAACUGGGAAACUUGAGUGCAGAAGAGGAGAGUGGAAUUCCACGUGUAGCGGUGAAAUGCGUAGAGAUGUGGAGGAACACCAGUGGCGAAGGCGACUCUCUGGUCUGUAACUGACGCUGAGGAGCGAAAGCGUGGGGAGCGAACAGGAUUAGAGACCCCGGUAGUCCCUGUCUCUUAUAC
Molecule: ribosomal RNA, 301 nt
Filed under: uncultured bacterium
Lineage: Bacteria
Description: partial 16S ribosomal RNA
Rfam family: Bacterial small subunit ribosomal RNA
Source: RNAcentral